This 497-nucleotide ribosomal RNA is filed under the name uncultured bacterium. RNAcentral describes it as "partial 16S ribosomal RNA". It matches the Rfam family "Bacterial small subunit ribosomal RNA", at positions 28 to 507 of the family's 1533-position model. The record is from RNAcentral.
GAUGAACGCUGGCGGCGUGCCUAAUACAUGCAAGUCGAGCGAACAGACGAGGAGCUUGCUCCUCUGACGUUAGCGGCGGACGGGUGAGUAACACGUGGAUAACCUACCUAUAAGACUGGGAUAACUUCGGGAAACCGGAGCUAAUACCGGAUAAUAUAUUGAACCGCAUAGUUCAAUAGUGAAAUACGGCUUUGCUGUCACUUAUAGAUGGAUCCGCGCCGCAUUAGCUAGUUGGUAAGGUAACGGCUUACCAAGGCAACGAUGGGUAGCCGACCUGAGAGAGUGAUCGGCCACACUGGAACUGAGACACAGUCCAGACUCCUACGGAAGGAACCAGUAGAGAAUCUUGCGCAAUGGGCGAAACAUUAACGGAGCAACGCCGCGUGUGUGAUGAAGGUCUUGGGAUCGUAAAGCUCUGUUAUGAGAGAAGAACAAUAUUGUCAGUAACUAUGCACGUCUUGACGGUACCUAAUCAGAAAGCCACGGCUAACUACGUG